RNA transcript from Lepisosteus oculatus (spotted gar), 3473 nucleotides. RefSeq lists it as uncharacterized. NCBI's taxonomy places the organism in Eukaryota, Metazoa, Chordata, Actinopteri, Semionotiformes, Lepisosteidae. The record is from RefSeq and is a predicted model, not a curated record.
GCGCGGAUGUGCGGAGCAUUGAGCUCGUGGCAGUGAUUGACUCAGCUACUGUAGAUGAAUAUUAAAAAACAAAAAUUGUUGUAUUGAAAAAUAACAUUUCAACUCCUGCAGGCGCGGUCUUGUUUUGUUGCAGAUCUGUGCAGACUCCGUAGGUCAGUAAUAAGAUGGCGAAUUGUCUGUUAACUCUGCAAACCGAGCUUCACUCUUUCAUGGAGGUUUUACUCAAAUCGAUCGUGUAUGAAAUUUCACAAGUUUUCCGAAACAGGAUGUCGGACUCCGAGAACGAGUUUCAGGACAAACUCCGCAGCAUCUCCCAGAUCCUGGUGAGACGGGCCGUGUUUAAAAUCACACAGUGUGUGGAGGAGAGUUUCGGGAGUGAAAUGGCGCAGCUGAAGAAGGAAAACGAGAGCCUGAAGUGGAGAUUGCAGCUGUGGGAGAAGGAGUCGGGAGCAGGGGGAGAUCAGGGACAGACAGAUCAUGUUGGACACACACUCCCCUGUGAAGUCACUGCAGAAAUAAAAGAAGAAAUGGACACGAAACCGGAGCUGUCAGGCUCAGAGGCCAGUGGUCUCCCUGACACUGGGGAAAGGGCUCCUCUUGAACAGCAGCACAGUGAGGAGGAGUGGAGCUUUAGUCUGAUGCAGGAGACAGAGCUCACUGCCGGAGAAGGGAAAGAGACACUCAGUGAGCAGCACACAGAGAGCAGACAGUAUGUCAAGGAUCUGGACUCUGUGCCCAUGAUGAAGACACAGCCCGAGAAAGAGACAAAUGGACUUUUAGUAUCUGAAGAUUUAACAGAAAAGGUCAAUAUUCUAUACAUUAAGACUAUUACAAUAAAUUUUAAUGAACAGGAAUCUGUGUCUGCACAGAGGCUCAAAGAGGAGGAGCUGAACGAAGUGGAUGAGUUUAAUCUUACAGAGCAGGACAUGGAGCCCCAGCUGAUUGACCCUGAAGAGCAGCAGACUGAUGUACCUGGUGAAGAGAACGGUACUAGGUUACUGCACACAGAGAAGAGUCAGGACAGGGAGGACUUUGAAAGGAGGAACAGCACCAAGAUCAAAGACUCAGGAAGACUCAGUCAAGACCUUGCUCAGGUAACGUGCCAGAAUUGUUAUUAAAGGAUAGACAGCAGCAUUUUUGUCAGUUAAGCACCUUAGAAAGUCAUUGCUGUAUGCAUACAGCAAAGAGAUUAUCUGAAGGCAGUGUGGUAAAAGUUUUGUUAGGUCAGGUCAUUUUAAAAAAGCAUAAGCAUGUUCACAGAGGGGAGAAACUAUUCAUCUGGGUGGAAAAUGGAGUUGUGAGUGAAGGCAGUACUGCUACAUAGGACUGGAAAAAUGAUAAUGAUGAAGCAGCACAACAGAGGUGCUCCGGCUUUGAAUUGAAACAGGGCAUAGGGAAUGAUUGGAUUCCUGAUUGAUAAUUAGAAUGGAUCACCUUCUGCUAAUCCGGUCAUAGUGAAGCUCUGGAAAACCCUGUUUCCCAGGGCAAGCAGGGACUGAGUGACCAUUUACUGUGGUAAGUUAAAUAAGAAUAUGAGUAAUAGAACACAAAUAAGAAUAUAAACUGAAGACAGGAGAAAUGGCUAAAGCCAGCACAAAGGAAGAACUCAUCAAAGCGAUUUAUAGGUUCUGGGAGGAAGUGCUGGCAAAACAAAGUUGAAACAAUUUUAAUAGGCUGUUUCAUGUUCUUCCCAAGAUUGUUGAGCACAGUGGGGGACAUUCGGGAAUUUCACAGAUGCUUUUGUUCUUUCUUGCAUUGUCAGAUUGUAAAUCAAUAAAAGCAUUUAAUUAAACAUGCGUUUGCGAUUUUAAUCCAAAAUAAAUGAAAAUAGUGUGAAAAUAUCUUAUCACCUCCUUGCCCCCUGUGGGUAAUGGGGACUCUCCAUUAUAAACAUAAAUAUAAAGCCCCAAAAUAAACACACAGUAAUAAAUAACGUGUUCUACAUUGACCUUUUUAUUAAGUGAUAGACAAAAAUCCGGGCAGUGUCUUUCUCUGCAAGCCAGUCAAAGAAGUAAGUAGGUGACUCAAAGCUCGAAGCAACAAUAUUUAAUACAGUGUGUAUUCUCCUGUCACAGUGCAAAAUAGAACAAUUUAGAGUACAUAAUGUGGUUAUGUAUCGGGAAUGUUUGCAAAUGUUGUGAUAAUUGUACAAUAUACGCUUUUGGGAACACAUUCGUUUUCGAGCAGGUAAUUGCUCACUUCUGCUGAUGUAGAGUGCUUUGUAAUCUACAUGCUCUCUCCACAUAAUUCUCCACAAUGAAAAUGUCUCAGAACUAGGCAGACUGUAUAAAUUAUAAAGCAAAGGCUAUGGAGAAAAAAAAAUCACCACUGAAAGCAACUCUUUUGACAUGUACAGUAAAUGUGACACCUGUGGCACGUCGAGUGCAUAUCCUACAGUGUGAGGGCAUUUGCAAGACUAUUAAAAAAGAUUGAUCGAGUUAACAGUCUGGGUGUGGUGAGUUUUGACUGUUUCCUGUCAGUCUUGGGCGAAAGUAACCCAUCUUUCAUUGUAAGGUUCGCCUAUUCUACUCUUACAUGAGAAUAUAUGAAUACACCAAGGGAUUCGGUUAAGUUGAGUUCCCUUUAAAAAAAAAUCUGCAAGCCUGCACUACAACAGCCAUAGUAUGGAGACAAAGACUUUUUUGUGGGAAGAGACGUGGUGCUUCAGCUGCCUUGGCUUGCAAAGUGCGAAGGCCUGUUCUACAUGAAAACCCUGCACAUGUUAAACGAUCUUCGGAGACUACCAGGACAGUAAAAAAGAAAGCGGCUGUGGGUCUCUGCUCUCAGCCGCUGGCCAGGGUGCCAGCCUGUGAAAGCAGCACCUGUGUGAAGACUGUUCAGCGGCAGCGGGAGCAGUCCGACUCAUUGCUGGGAAAGGUUGGGAGGUUGGAAACACUCCUAAAGAUGCAGAAGCAGGAGACAGUAUGUUCCGGCAGUCAAAUGCAAGGUCAGCUGCCUCUGAACAGACCUUCAUCUCCUGAUAAGUGCCCUUCCCCGCCACGCAGGUUGCUGUACCUGGCGGAAUGCAUAUCUCCACACAGCCCUCCUCCCUCAGCAGAGCACACACCACCUCAAGACACUCCAUCCAGGCCUCUCUGCUUACCUCCGCCCAGGAAUUGGCUGGUCCUGUCCCCACUGUCUCUCUCCCCUCAGGAAGUACCAUCUACACAGCCACAACAGAACUCACAGAUGCCAAUGCCACGAACAGUUCUCCCAGAUAUCCAACUUUUGCCCAUCAGUCAAGAGAAGGAGGAGAGAUUAUACAUGCAGUGCAUCGGCAUAGAUGGGAAAGCCAGAGCCGACCGUUACGCUGCUCUUUUGUUUCGUAAUUUUGUGACUUUUGAAAUUUAUUGGGGGUGGACCACAUCUGUAAAUUUCGAUGGGUCCAGAGGUAAAAGCGCCUUGCCUUGCAAUCUCCGGGAAAACAUUAUCGGCAUGGUGAAUCGGAGAUUCUCAAAACUAAGUUUGUAUGA